CUAGAAAGAAGGGGUUUGAACCCUACCUAAAGAGAUCAAAACUCUUCGUGCUUCCACUACACCACUUCCUA
Molecule: transfer RNA, 71 nt
Filed under: Rexea antefurcata (long-finned escolar)
Lineage: Eukaryota; Metazoa; Chordata; Actinopteri; Scombriformes; Gempylidae
Description: tRNA-Gln
Source: RNAcentral